CAACGAAUGGUAGGACAAAACAAUGGGAGAAAAAACUUUUUCUACAGCAAUCCCUUGUUUUCACCUACCACAUGUUGUGAACCCAAAGCACGCCGACGAACGCUUAGUUAUACGAAAAUGACCUACCAAAAACAAAAAAAGUGAGGUGAAUAGAAACAAAAAGAAAUUGAAAUCUCCCAAAAGGUCGUCCACCUCGGGGGCAACUUUCUGCCGAAAAUAGUAGUUGGGCCUAUGAACAAACUAACGUUACUUUUUGGUAAAUUAUUAAAUUAACCGAAAAAACAGCAUGGUUUCUCCCCAUCAAAAAGCAAACUGU
RNAcentral lists this unclassified non-coding RNA (316 nucleotides) under Enterococcus faecalis V583. Its description in RNAcentral is "Ref30D2". Lineage: Bacteria; Bacillati; Bacillota; Bacilli; Lactobacillales; Enterococcaceae. The record is from RNAcentral.